AAUAGAAACCAUCAACUUCGCUGCAAAAGAAUCGAAUAAUUGAAGCAAAGAGGUGAAACUGUACCCAUCAUUGGUUGCUUGUGUAUGGACAAUGAAGAAACCGCUAUGCUUUAGGGCUUUGUAAACUUCCAAAGCUAACUGCACUGGCUCGUGGCCUCAUCCAGUCUGGCGGUACUUGAAAACAUGAAACCAAAUGUCUCAUUCUUGAACCCUAUAAACAGCCGAGAUGAUUUCAACAACAAAAUCCCAAUGUAAAUGAACACUCCAAUAUCAUUCAAAGCAAUACUUUCUUCUCUUGUAAGUACCCCAAUGGAGUAAGGAAACCUUGAGCAAUUAGGUAUAGGAAAAUGGAGGAAUAAUAGGUUUUCAACCUGGCUAAAGGAACGACAGAUAUUUUGCCACGAUGACGGGGAAGGUGGUAGCGGUGGAUAUGCGAUACUGGAUUUGAUGGACGGAGGGAAGAAGUAGAAGUCAAUAGAGUUACAGGAUCGAC
RNAcentral lists this long non-coding RNA (493 nucleotides) under Olea europaea (common olive). RNAcentral describes it as "long non-coding RNA (OEUR_LNC012730)". The record is from RNAcentral. Lineage: Eukaryota; Viridiplantae; Streptophyta; Magnoliopsida; Lamiales; Oleaceae.